This 432-nucleotide ribosomal RNA is filed under the name uncultured bacterium. RNAcentral's name for it is "partial 16S ribosomal RNA". It matches the Rfam family "Bacterial small subunit ribosomal RNA", at positions 338 to 795 of the family's 1533-position model. The record is from RNAcentral.
CCUACGGGAUGCAGCAGUGGGGAAUAUUGGACAAUGGGCGCAAGCCUGAUCCAGCCAUGCCGCGUGUGUGAAGAAGGCCUUCGGGUUGUAAAGCACUUUUGUUGGGGAAGCGGUACCCAAAGAAUAAGCACCGGCUAACUUCGUGCCAGCAGCCGCGGUAAUACGAAGGGUGCAAGCGUUACUCGGAAUUACUGGGCGUAAAGCGUGCGUAGGUGGUGAGUUAAGUCUGUCGUGAAAGCCCCGGGCUCAACCUGGGAAUGGCGAUGGAUACUGGCUCGCUAGAGUGCGGUAGAGGAGAGUGGAAUUCCCGGUGUAGCAGUGAAAUGCGUAGAGAUCGGGAGGAACAUCAGUUGCGAAGGCGGCUCUCUGGACCAGACUGACACUGAGGCACGAAAGCGUGGGGAGCAAACAGGAUUAGAUACCCGAGUAGUC